Oreochromis niloticus (Nile tilapia) is the source of this 1558-nucleotide long non-coding RNA. RefSeq lists it as uncharacterized. Lineage: Eukaryota; Metazoa; Chordata; Actinopteri; Cichliformes; Cichlidae. The record is from RefSeq and is a predicted model, not a curated record. The transcript has 3 exons.
UGUUGCACUGAAAUGUGAGAUUUUUAAAAGGUGAAUGUGGCUGUUUCCUGUGACUUGUUGGUUUUUGGGGAUGAUCCUCAGUUUGAGUUUCUUAUGUUCAAAUCCCAGAUGAGCCCAUUUGUUGUUUAAGUCUUUGCCGCCUCCCUGUUGCUGUAAUUUGUUACUAUCAGGAUGUCCUAAAAACUCCAUGGAAAGCAUUUAGCUUCAGAGAAAAACUGGCAGGAAACAGAAAGACAGAGCAUUUUUCUCUUAUAUUGACUUUUCUCCACUGGAUUCCUGUUAAAUCCAGAAUUGAAUAUAAAAUACUAUUUUUAUAUGACUAUUUUUACUUUUAGCUUCUACUUUUUUACAUCACACUGUGCACAAUCUCUAUGGAAUUAAUCCUAGAAUAAAAACUAGAAUCAAACACAGAAACUUGACUUUCUGAGCUUUCAAAACCAUCUUUCAUACAUUCUUCUUCAUUUUUUUUACUCUGAUGUGUGACUUUGGGAAAAUGACACAAAGAAUUGUUUGGCUUGUUGGUCUAGUUUCAAUGGGAGAAAUGUCCCUGUCUCCCUUGAAGGGAGUCGUCCCUUGGAAGAACUCGCUACACGGGUGGAGAGUGCUCUUGAAAAGGAGCUGAGCAACAAAACCGGUGAUACUUCUGAGGCUGUUUCCAGCUCUGUCUCAGAGCAGAAACAGGUUUUUGCUGUCCCAAGAAGCCAGUAUGGCAACAUCACUGCCACUCUGCACAAUCCCAGCACUGCUCCAGAGAAACCUAAAGGAACGGCCCAGGUGGUGUUCACAGAGAGACAGUUAAAUAUUCUUGUCUUUAAUUUGAAACAUUACCUUGAGCCAAGAGAGAUUAAAUAGUUGGAAGAAAUGACAGGACUGACCUACAAACAGACGGAGAAAGUUUAGGAGGAGUUCACAUCCUCAGCAUCUCAAUCAGGGCGUCCCAUUUCAUUUUCAGGGAGAGGGACAGCCCCCACUCAAGCAGCAGUACACCCAGCACCUGGAGACCAAUUUAAUCAGAAGUGGUGCAAAUUAUCAGGCUGUGGGCAAUUUUGCGGCUGGACCUCAAUGGACCUUCCCCACCUCACCCCAGUUGUUUGGCUGGUCGAUGCCACCAGGCAACAGCAAUUAUGAAUUCAACCCUGUUGCCGGUAUGAACAACAAAAACUUGGGUUUUCACAACACAAGUUUUGAAGGAGCAAGUGGAGAGCCUUGCCAGCAGCUAAUGAUCCUUUUAUUACAAAUAUUGUGAUUUAUAUCAGACUUUUUGUAUUAAGUUUGAAUCUUCUUGUCGUCAUGUAGCUCAACAUAACAGAGUCUCAGAUUUGAUCUCUUCCAGUAAAUGGGGGGUGAAUUUUCAGCCCUUUAUUUUUAACCGUUGGAUUUAAGAAAUAUUUGGAUUCAGCAGACUCUGGCUAUUGUAAAUACAUUUUAGUCGAUCCAAAACACAUACUGGGAAAUCAGAGAGAACACAUUCAGAAGUUUUGUAUAUAACAUCAAGAGAUGAAUUCAUCAAAAUGUGUUUUGUUUCAGUUUGUUGUACUUCCAGUAUUUGUAAAAAAUA